RNAcentral lists this ribosomal RNA (450 nucleotides) under uncultured bacterium. RNAcentral describes it as "bacterial SSU rRNA". It matches the Rfam family "Bacterial small subunit ribosomal RNA", at positions 335 to 797 of the family's 1533-position model. The record is from RNAcentral.
ACUCCUACGGGAGGCAGCAGUGGGGAAUAUUGCACAAUGGAGGAAACUCUGAUGCAGCAACGCCGCGUGGAGGAUGACACUUUUCGGAGCGUAAACUCCUUUUAUAUAGGAAGAUAAUGACGGUACUAUAUGAAUAAGCACCGGCUAACUCCGUGCCAGCAGCCGCGGUAAUACGGAGGGGUGCAAGCGUUACUCGGAAUCACUGGGGCGUAAAGAGCGUGUAGGCGGGUUAUUAAGUCAGAAGUGAAAUCCUAUGGCUCAACCAUAGAACUGCUUUUGAAACUGGUAACCUAGAGUAUGGGAGAGGUAGAUGGAAUUUCUGGUGUAGGGGUAAAAUCCGUAGAGAUCAGAAGGAAUACCGAUUGCGAAGGCGAUCUACUGGAACAUUACUGACGCUGAGACGCGAAAGCGUGGGGAGCAAACAGGAUUAGAUACCCUGGUAGACUGUCA